UCUACCUUUGGGAUCUCAGUCUUAAGUUCUUUUUCCUUUAUAAUUUUAUAUAGCUUUUUAUUAACUUCUAAUAAUAAUAUUAUUAAUGUAUUAUUCUGUUUUAAUAUUAUUUGAUCAGCUUUACCUUGAGGAGUAUAGUUACUUAGUCCUUCUGGAUUGGGUUGAAUUUUUGCUGUUAAUUUUAACACUUCUUCAUAUAUAGGAUCUAAUUCUAUAUGUAUAUCACUCAUGAAAGAGCAAUUUCCUUAUUGUGUCUAUCUUUUCUUUAAGUACACUUAUCUCUCCUUUUAACACUUCUACUUGUUCAGUUAUUUUUUCUACUAAUCUAGUUGUUUGUAUUUCUAAUUUUUUAGGCUUUUCUGUAAUAGUCUUAAUUAACUUU
RNAcentral lists this long non-coding RNA (382 nucleotides) under Nicotiana benthamiana. RNAcentral's name for it is "long non-coding RNA (NBEN_LNC039994)". The record is from RNAcentral. Lineage: Eukaryota; Viridiplantae; Streptophyta; Magnoliopsida; Solanales; Solanaceae.